GACGAACCGUGCGAACGUUGUUCGGAUUCACUGGGCUUAAAGGGCGCGUAGGCGGACGGUCAAGUCGGGGGUGAAAUCUUUCAGCUUAACUGGAAAAGUGCCUCCGAUACUGAUCGUCUCGAGGGAGGUAGGGGCAUGUGGAACUUCCGGUGGAGCGGUGAAAUGCGCAGAUAUCAGGAAGAACACCCGUGGCUAAGGCGGCUCUCUAGUACGGUACUGACGCUGAGACGCGAAAGCGUGGGGAGCGAACAGG
RNAcentral lists this ribosomal RNA (253 nucleotides) under uncultured bacterium. RNAcentral's name for it is "partial 16S ribosomal RNA". It matches the Rfam family "Bacterial small subunit ribosomal RNA", at positions 524 to 776 of the family's 1533-position model. The record is from RNAcentral.